AGUGGAUGGGGAGCAACCUAGUUGUGCGUGUGUAAAGGUAGUGCCAAGAAAAGCGGUGAUCAUGAUGAAAAUCAAUUCCCGGUACCCGAAACCGACACAGGUGGGCAAGUAGAAAAUACUAAGGGGCGCGAGGUAACUCUCUCCAAGGAACUCGGCAAAAUGACCCCGUAAUUUAGGGAGAAGGGGUGCCACCGAGAGGUGGUCGCAGUGAAGAGGCCCAGGCGACUGUUUAGCAAAAACAUAGGUCUCUGCAAACUCGAAAGAGGAGGUAUAGGGGCUGACGCCUGCCCAGUGCCGGAAGGUUAAAGAAGUUGGUCAGUCUUAGGAUGAAGCUAGCGACUGAAGCCCCGGUGAACGGCGGCCGUAACUAUAACGGUCCUAAGGUAGCGAAAUUCCUUGUCGGGUAAGUUCCGACCCGCACUAAAGGCGUAACGAUCUGGGCGCUGUCUCGGAGAGAGGCUCGGCGAAAUAGGAUUGUCUGUGAAGAUACGGACUACCUGCAUUUGGACAGAAAGACCCUAUGAAGCUUUACUAUAGCUUGGAAUUGUGUUCGGGCUUCCUGUGCGCAGGAUAGGUGGGAGGCGUAGAAGGUAUUCUUGUGGGGAUACUGGAGCCAACGGUGAGAUACCACUCUCAGGAGGCUAGAAUUCUAACUUAAUUAAGGACAGUUUCAGGUGGGUAGUUUGACUGGGGCGGUCGCCUCCAAAAAGGUAACGGAGGCGUACAAAGGUUCCCUCAGACUGGUUGGAAAUCAGUCGAAGAGUGCAAAGGCAGAAGGGAGCUUGACUGCGAGAAGUACAGUUCGAGCAGGGUGGAAACACGGUCUUAGUGAUCCGACGGUGCUGUGUGGAAGGGCCGUCGCUCAACGGAUAAAAGUUACUCUAGGAUAACAGGCUGAUCUCCCCCAAGAGUUCACAUCGACGGGGAGGUUUGGCACCUCGAUGUCGGCUCAUCGCAACCUGGGGCGGAAGUACGUCCCAAGGGUUGGGCUGUUCGCCCAUUAAAGCGGUACGUGAGCUGGGUUCAGAACGUCGUGAGACAGUUCGGUCCAUAUCCGAUGUAGGCGUGAGAAUAUUGAGAGGAGCCUUCCUUAGUACGAGAGGACCGGGAAGGACGCACCGCUGGUGUACCUGUUAUGAUGCCAAUUGUAAACGCAGGGUAGCCAAGUGCGGAGAGGAUAACCGCUGAAAGCAUCUAAGUGGGAAGCCCACCUCAAGAUGAGUAUUCUGGUGUAAGGUCACGGGAAGACGACCCGUAAAUAGGCACGAGGUGGAAGUGCAGAGAUGUAUGAAGCCGAAGUGUACUAAUAGACCGUCGGCUUGACC
RNAcentral lists this ribosomal RNA (1325 nucleotides) under metagenome. RNAcentral's name for it is "bacterial LSU rRNA". It matches the Rfam family "Bacterial large subunit ribosomal RNA", at positions 1561 to 2925 of the family's 2925-position model. The record is from RNAcentral.